This 24-nucleotide non-coding RNA is filed under the name Arabidopsis thaliana (thale cress). Lineage: Eukaryota; Viridiplantae; Streptophyta; Magnoliopsida; Brassicales; Brassicaceae. The record is from RNAcentral.
ACAAAGAUGUAGUGGGCCAAAAUA